AUUCCCUCCCAGUGCCCCCAAGUCUCCUCCCAGUCCCUCCCAGUGCCCCCAAAUCUUCUCCCAGUCCAUCUCAGUCCUUUCCAGUGCCCCCAGCUCCCCCCCCAGUCCUUCCCAGUGCCCAUAAAUCCACUCCCAGUGUCCCCAGAUCUUCUUCCAGUCCCUCCCAGUGCCCCCAAGUCUCCUCCCAGUCUCUCCCAGUCCUUCCCAGUUCCCCCAAAUCCCCUCCCAGUCCUUCCCAGUGCCUUUAAAUCCCCUCCCAGUGUCCCUAACUCCCUUCCCAUUCCGUCCCAGUGCCCCCAAGUCUCCUCCCAGUCCCUCCCAGUCUCUCCCAGUGCCCCCAAAUCUUCUCCCAGUCCCUCCCAGUCCUUCCCAGUUCCCCUAAAUCCUCUCCCAGCUCUUCCCAGUGCCCCUAAAUCCCCUCCCAGUGUCCCUAACUCCCUUCCCAGUCCCUCCCAGUACCCCCAGAUCCUCUUCCAGUCCCUCCCAGUCCCUCCCAGUGCCCAUAAAUCUACUCCCAGUCCCUCCCAGUGCCCUCAGCUCCCCUCCCCGUACCCCCAAAUCCUCUCCCAGUCUCUCCCAGUGCCCUCAAAUCCUCUCCCAGUCCUUCCCAGUGCCCAUAAAUCCCCUCCCAGUCUCUCGCAGUGCCCCCACGUCUCCUCCCAGCCCUUCCCAGUCUCUCCCAGUUCCUCCCAGUGCCCCCAAAUCUUCUCUCAGUCCAUCUCAGUCCUUUGCAGUGCCCCCAGCUCCCCCCCAGUCCUUUCUAGUGCCCAUAAAUCCACUCCCAGUGCCCCUAAGUCCUCUCCAAGUCCCUACCAGUGCCCCCAAAUCUCCUCCCAGUCCUUCCCAGUGCCCAUAAAUCCACUCCCAGUGGCCCCAAAUCUCCUCCCAGUACCCCCAGAUCCUCUCCCACUCCCUCCCAGUGCCCCGAAAUCUCCUCCCCGUCCUCCCCAGUCCCUCCCAGUCCUUUCCAGUGCCGCCAAAUCCUCUCCCAGUCCCUCCCAGUGCCCAUAA
This 1011-nucleotide long non-coding RNA is filed under the name Numida meleagris (helmeted guineafowl). Its description in RNAcentral is "lncRNA (ENSNMEG00000002507.1)". Lineage: Eukaryota; Metazoa; Chordata; Aves; Galliformes; Numididae. The record is from RNAcentral.